GAUGAACGCUGGCGGCGUGCCUAAUACAUGCAAGUCGAGCGAACAGACGAGGAGCUUGCUCCUCUGACGUUAGCGGCGGACGGGUGAGUAACACGUGGAUAACCUACCUAUAAGACUGGUAUAACUUCGGGAAACCGGAUCUAAUACCGGAUAAUAUAUUGAACCGCAUGGUUCAAUAGUGAAAGACGGUUUUGCUGUCACUUAUAGAUGGAUCCGCGCCGCAUUAGCUAGUUGGUAAGGUAACGGCUUACCAAGGCGACGAUGCGUAGCCGACCUGAGAGGGUGAUCGGCCACACUGGAACUGAGACACGGUCCAGACUACUACGGGAGGCAGCAGUCGGGAAUCUUACGCAAUGGGCGAAAGCCUGACGGAGCAACGCCGCGUGAGUGAUGAAGGUCUUCGGAUCGUAAAACUCUGUUAUUAGGGAAGAACAAAUGUGUAAGUAACUAUGCACGUCUUGACGGUAACUAAUCAGAAAGCCACGGCUAACUACGUG
This 497-nucleotide ribosomal RNA is filed under the name uncultured bacterium. Its description in RNAcentral is "partial 16S ribosomal RNA". It matches the Rfam family "Bacterial small subunit ribosomal RNA", at positions 28 to 507 of the family's 1533-position model. The record is from RNAcentral.